Molecule: ribosomal RNA, 570 nt
Filed under: uncultured bacterium
Lineage: Bacteria
Description: partial 16S ribosomal RNA
Rfam family: Bacterial small subunit ribosomal RNA
Source: RNAcentral
UGGGGAAUUUUGGACAAUGGGCGAAAGCCUGAUCCAGCAAUGCCGCGUGUGUGAAGAAGGCCUUCGGGUUGUAAAGCACUUUUGUCCGGAAAGAAAUCCUUGGCUCUAAUACAGUCGGGGGAUGACGGUACCGGAAGAAUAAGCACCGGCUAACUACGUGCCAGCAGCCGCGGUAAUACGUAGGGUGCAAGCGUUAAUCGGAAUUACUGGGCGUAAAGCGUGCGCAGGCGGUUUGCUAAGACCGAUGUGAAAUCCCCGGGCUCAACCUGGGAACUGCAUUGGUGACUGGCAGGCUAGAGUAUGGCAGAGGGGGGUAGAAUUCCACGUGUAGCAGUGAAAUGCGUAGAGAUGUGGAGGAAUACCGAUGGCGAAGGCAGCCCCCUGGGCCAAUACUGACGCUCAUGCACGAAAGCGUGGGGAGCAAACAGGAUUAGAUACCCUGGUAGUCCACGCCCUAAACGAUGUCAACUAGUUGUUGGGAUUCAUUUCCUUAGUAACGUAGCUAACGCGUGAAGUUGACCGCCUGGGGAGUACGUCGCAAGAUUAAAACUUAAAUGAAUUGACGGGGUC